AGUAGCUUAAUUGGUAAAGCCUUGGAUUCUUACUCCUAGGAUGUUUUUUGACUUCUCUCGAG
RNAcentral lists this transfer RNA (62 nucleotides) under Brachycladium atlanticum. RNAcentral describes it as "tRNA-Lys". The record is from RNAcentral. Lineage: Eukaryota; Metazoa; Platyhelminthes; Trematoda; Plagiorchiida; Brachycladiidae.